Long non-coding RNA from Cimex lectularius (bed bug), 913 nucleotides. RefSeq lists it as uncharacterized. The record is from RefSeq and is a predicted model, not a curated record. The transcript is spliced from 3 exons. NCBI's taxonomy places the organism in Eukaryota, Metazoa, Arthropoda, Insecta, Hemiptera, Cimicidae.
GUGAGAGGGAAUCGAAACGAUUCGCUUGCGGUAUAACAGUCUUAUAUGAUAUAGAAUUGAUGAUAAGUGCAACCUUAUUCAUAUUUCAAUGACAAUGUUAUAAAAGUAAUAGACCCAGUGAAUAACUUAUGCCUAUAUCUUGCGUUGGGUGUUUUCCGCAAGAGGCCUGUCAACAGUCGUUGUGUUAGGAACAACAGUAACCGCGCUGAGAAAGUGUGCAGAAAAGGAGGACACAUGAUAAACCAGCCAACUCUGGCACGGAUUAAGGAUGGCGGAUUAAGUGGCGAGAAGGUAUCGAACACUAGUCGUUUUAAGCCGACGUAGCAGGUUGUCGGGAUGAAAAAGUGUUGUGAGACCUUAAAAAAUAGGGUGAGGAUGGUUCAAAAGCAUGGUACAGAAUUCGUUGACAAAAGGAAGGUCGUGGAGGAGAAUGAGACUUUUGGACAUCGACAUCUUUAGUGUUGAGCCUGAUUACUUUUUCCUUCUAUUACCGGAUGAAAACACUUCAAGGGUACAACAGAUAUAAGAACAAAAAGCCAGGCGCGGACACACCCAUCCCAUCCCUCACGAUCUUGGCUUCACAGAAAUCACAUUAUUAAUAAUAAUUUAAUUGCAGAUAAUUUUUGGUCUAAGGGGUUUGUUAUGUUGGUAGUCACUUGAAAUAUAAACUUUACUUAUUAUAACCUGACAUUUUCUGUUAAAAACGUGUAGUGAGGUGUAUUUGAAAAAUCGUUGACUUGUAAAUGGUUAUUACAUUUUUAUUUUUAUUUAGAGCGUCGUAUAUGUAAGUUGAAUGUUAAUGUUAUCUCUAUGGUUGUAAAUUAACUGAAUUUGUAUUCAAAUUUUUUUUAUAUUUUACUAAGUUGUUGUAGUGAAGGCUAAAUAUAGAGCCGAAAGCUUGGCAACUGUAUAA